Molecule: ribosomal RNA, 241 nt
Filed under: uncultured bacterium
Lineage: Bacteria
Description: partial 16S ribosomal RNA
Rfam family: Bacterial small subunit ribosomal RNA
Source: RNAcentral
UACGGAGGGUGCGAGCGUUGUCCGGAAUCACUGGGCGUAAAGGGCGCGUAGGUGGCCUGUGGAAGUCUGCGGUGAAAGCCCGGCGCUCAACGCCGGGUCGGCCGUGGAUACUCUCGGGCUCGAGCUUACUAGAGGCAGAUGGAAUUCCGGGUGUAGCGGUGGAAUGCGUAGAGAUCCGGAAGAACACCGGUGGCGAAGGCGGCGAAGCCUGGUCCUUGACUGACGCUGAGGCGCGAAGCGU